Acanthopagrus latus (yellowfin seabream) is the source of this 966-nucleotide long non-coding RNA. RefSeq lists it as uncharacterized. The transcript is spliced from 3 exons. The record is from RefSeq and is a predicted model, not a curated record. Lineage: Eukaryota; Metazoa; Chordata; Actinopteri; Spariformes; Sparidae.
UUGGGGGGAAAUUAUUAUUUGUAUUCUUUCCAAGAGUUAGACGAGAAGAUGGAUAUGGUUCCCCCACAUGCUCAGCUAGGCUAACAAGCUGUUGGCACUAGCUUUUGACUAACAUUUGCCAAACAGCAGCUAACAACACAAACAGUAAAAGUCUGGUGGCUAAUGCUAAUUUGCAGUGUAACGGUUGACUAACAUAUUGAUAGCAUAACAAUUAGCUGACACAAGCAGACAGGUGUACUAUAGUCUGGGAACUGAGUCAUGCUUAUUGCUCAGCACUAUCUAAUGAAUGCUAACAUUAGCCACCAUACGCUAGUGGUUGUUUCAGUACGAUUAUAGAGGCAAAACUCUUCAGUGUGUUUAACUUUGGCCCAAAGCUAAGAAGUAUUUACUGCUUCCUGCUUCUUCAAGAUGCCUCAUACAUAGACUGUGAGAUGACCAGUGGGCGGAUUUAACACCGGCAUAACACGGAGGCAAAUGACUCAGACUGAAACAUCAGGGAUGGCGGAGAUCAACUGCGUGGAAAAUCCUUGAAAAUGAAAAUGUGGAGUGGUUGAAGAAAGAAAAAUGGACACCAGAAGCUUUAACUUACUCCAAGGACACGAGUAAUGACGCACUUUAUGUACAUUUAAAGGAAAGUAUAAGCAUCACUUAAUAAAAUAUGAUCAAAUGCAAUGAAAGAUAAUAAAACAGUGGGUUUGGUAAAGUUGGUAAGUGGGUUUUUAAAAGUGAUGUCAAAGAGAAUAAACAUCCCUCCUGUAAUGUCUCUCCUUUGUGUUCAGUGUUAAUUUCCUUUGCAGGUGUGAAAGCUGCACAGCUGUGGUCCUCGACAUCAGCAGUUUUUAGGCGUAUGUAUUUGGGUCUAGUAGACAAUUACUGCAGGAUAUAAUAUUAAGCAGUAUAUUAAGCAGUAAACAAACAAUGACACUGACCGAGUGACAUCCACAGCUUCAACAGCAUGUCAGCUGA